GACGAACGCUGGCGGCGUGCUUAACACAUGCAAGUCGAACGGAGAGGGCCUGUAUUUGUAGGGUGCUCGAGUGGCGAAAGGGGGAGUAUAACGCGAGUGAACUGCCCUUGUCUUUGGGAUACCUUCAGGAGACUCGAGCUAUUAUCGGACAGGAGCACCUGAUACACGGUGGGGGUUGGAAAGAUUCGCGGGUUCGGGACGGACGGGCGGUUUAUCAGCUUGUUGGCUGGGUAGUGGCUUACCACGGCUUUGACGGGUAGCCGGCCUGAGAGGGUGACCGGCCACAUUGGGACUGAGAUACGGCCCGGACGCAUACGGGAGGCAGCAGUGGAGAAUAGUGCACAAUGGGCGGAAGCCUGAUGCAGCAGCGCCGCGUGCGAGAUGACGGCCUUCGGGUUGUAAACCGCUUUCGCCUAUGACGAAGCGUGAGUGACGGUAAUGGGUAAAGAAGCACCGGCUAACUACGUG
RNAcentral lists this ribosomal RNA (468 nucleotides) under uncultured bacterium. Its description in RNAcentral is "partial 16S ribosomal RNA". It matches the Rfam family "Bacterial small subunit ribosomal RNA", at positions 28 to 507 of the family's 1533-position model. The record is from RNAcentral.